AAAAGCAUAUAGAAACGGAAAAAAGAGAGAAUGAUUCCUUCAUUGUAUGCCCACAACCAUCAACAACAGAUAAGGAAACAAUGACAUCGAUACAACCA
This is a long non-coding RNA of Harpegnathos saltator (Jerdon's jumping ant), 98 nucleotides long. RefSeq lists it as uncharacterized. Lineage: Eukaryota; Metazoa; Arthropoda; Insecta; Hymenoptera; Formicidae. The record is from RefSeq and is a predicted model, not a curated record. The transcript has 2 exons.